RNAcentral lists this ribosomal RNA (218 nucleotides) under uncultured prokaryote. RNAcentral's name for it is "partial 16S ribosomal RNA". It matches the Rfam family "Bacterial small subunit ribosomal RNA", at positions 565 to 774 of the family's 1533-position model. The record is from RNAcentral.
CCCUACGGGGUGCAGCAGGCGGGGAGACAAGUCAGCUGUGAAAACUAUGGGCUUAACCCAUAAACUGCAGUUGAAACUGUUUUUCUUGAGUGGAGUAGAGGUAGGCGGAAUUCCGAGUGUAGCGGUGAAAUGCGUAGAUAUUCGGAGGAACACCAGUGGCGAAGGCGGCCUACUGGGCUCUAACUGACGCUGAGGCUCGAAAGUGUGGGGAGCAAACA